CGGAGGCGCAGUUGAAUCAAUGUGUGUUCGGAAUCGACUCCAUAUCUUUAUAAUCGACUCCAAGUUCACAACAACUUGAAUAGGUGACCGAUGACGUGGUGUGUGAGGAGCUUACCUUCACCCAGAGAAUACACCUUAAAUCCAGACAUCUUUUUGGACAGGAUGGAUUUGGGCAGGUUGAUCAGUGCUGGGUUGUAGACGGGGAAGUCGCUGUAAUAGUGAUCCAGCACCCACACGGCGGCUCGCUGAAUGCUGCAACACAACACAGGAGGAGCCGAAUGCAAUUUUUUGAUCCCCCACGUUGAAAAAACAACUACGGGUCUGUCUGAAAACCUGGUGAUCACUCUACAUUGAUGCAUCGAACAUCAUCCUCCACCCUCCUGAGAAGGCGAGUGAGGGCAAUCCCAGCAUUUAGUGUGGCACAACUUCUCUCACAAAAAAUUACAAAUAUGAUGGACAAAUGCGGAGCAACCAA
Long non-coding RNA from Trichomycterus rosablanca, 475 nucleotides. RefSeq lists it as uncharacterized. The transcript is spliced from 3 exons. The record is from RefSeq and is a predicted model, not a curated record. NCBI's taxonomy places the organism in Eukaryota, Metazoa, Chordata, Actinopteri, Siluriformes, Trichomycteridae.